AAGCUUGCAGCCACAGAAUUCUCACAGUGAUGGGCCUCCUCUUGCCCCGUGUCAGUCAAGGCCAUGGUGGUCAAAGCCAUCCUUUCUUAUGGAUCAACAGCUUCAUCCUGUGCCAUCAACUGUGACAAAUUCUGUGGUCAGUAGGAUA
This 148-nucleotide microRNA precursor is filed under the name Hordeum vulgare. RNAcentral describes it as "miR6199 stem-loop (hvu-MIR6199)". The record is from miRBase by way of RNAcentral. Lineage: Eukaryota; Viridiplantae; Streptophyta; Magnoliopsida; Poales; Poaceae.